GGAAUUUUGGACAAUGGGGGCAACCCUGAUCCAGCCAUGCCGCGUGAGUGAAGAAGGCCUUCGGGUUGUAAAGCUCUUUCAGACGGAAAGAAAUCGGGGGUGUUAAUACCGCCCCUGGAUGCCGGUACUGUCAGAAGAAGCACCGGCUAACUACGUGCCAGCAGCCGCGGUAAUACGUAGGGUGCGAGCGUUAACCGGAAUUACUGGGCGUAAAGCGUGCGCAGGCGGUUGUGUAAGACAGGUGUGAAAUCCCCGGGCUUAACCUGGGAACUGCGCUUGUGACUGCACGGCUAGAGUACGGCAGAGGGGGGUGGAAUUCCACGUGUAGCAGUGAAAUGCGUAGAGAUGUGGAGGAACACCGAUGGCGAAGGCAGCCCCCUGGGCCUGUACUGACGCUCAUGCACGAAAGCGUGGGGAGCAAAC
This 423-nucleotide ribosomal RNA is filed under the name uncultured bacterium. RNAcentral's name for it is "bacterial SSU rRNA". It matches the Rfam family "Bacterial small subunit ribosomal RNA", at positions 358 to 773 of the family's 1533-position model. The record is from RNAcentral.